AGUGCCUGAGUAAAGUGGACGGUCGACGAUUAGGCCUACAGAAUUGCAGUUUGUAAUCUUCGUCAGCACAACAGUAGAAUGAUUAUGAAGCCGAGGAAGAAGGGUGCAAUCCUUUGUCCUGGAUCUCAUGAAGAAGACCUGCAAGUUACGCGUAUUCUCCUGAACAAGCCAGCGGCUUAUUCCUCCGAACUGCGGACUGAUUCGCGGACUCUAUGAGAGACACGCCCUGGGAAAACCACCUCCGUCGCCGUAGAAACGGCCCUGCUGGCCGGUCUCUGAUGCAGUGUCGCUUUGUGAAGGAAAGAGGCCGACGAAGACGAGCCUCGUGCGCUUGUGACGGACACACCGCUCUGAAGGCCCGCCCUCUUUGUAGAGUGACAGCAGAAUUUGCCGGUCUAGCUUCUGCUGAGCUGAGAGCGUUCUUCACUGCACUGGACCAGUAAUCGCCAUAGUUUCGGGCCUGUGGUGGACCAGUAAUCGCCAUGGUUUCUGCAGCUGCACUGGACCAGUAAUCGCCAUGGUUUCGAGCCUGUGGUGGACCAGUAAUCGCCAUGGUUUCUGCGGCUGCACUGGACCAGUAAUCGCCAUGGUUUCUGCGGCUGCACUGGACCAGUAGUCGCCAUGGUUUCUGCAGCUGCACACACACAGGGAUGCUGUCAUUGCAGAACUCCAUUAUACUCCUGUAUUCUCCUGAUGCAGAUACGACAGCCAAGGCGGCACACGGUGGAGUUGGAGGAAGACCUUUCUUAUGUGCGGGGCUGCCAGAGAACGCUGAAACCCCCCAAACCGACUAAACCCUCCCAACACCUCCAUCACCAACCGUGCGUCACCCCAACAAGCUCAAUCCAUCAGCACCCAACGUGGUCCGGGUCCGACCCACGCCGACGACGUGGUGCUUUAACCCGAUGAGCCACUCAGCAGCCUGGUGUGCCACCUGGUGUUUUUGAAUGCCUACGCUUGGCGGUCGAGUUCGCGCAUUAAAAGCAACGGUUGCAGAUAAUUGACCGUUCCAAAAAUAGGCUGAGAAUUGGAUGUUUUCUGCCCCGUUUUGGCUUAAUUAGACCUGGUAGUGUCCAGAUUGUACGAGCAGGGUUUAUGAGAAGUGGAUACAGGGGAACAUUAGUGGUGAAGAAUGUCUUGAUUACACAUUUAAAUGCUGUACUUAGCACAUUAUGUUGUGCUUGUUGAAUAUGAGGUAUAAAUAGUUACUAGUCAAAUUAUUGUAUUUGCUUUUGCAAAAUUCCAUAAAUUGCAUGCAGAGAUGUCCAUAAAUUGCAUAAGGCUACAGCCUUAGCUUGAGUUUACAAGUUCACAAAUACUGGAAUUCUAUUUAGAUGAUGUCUGCAUACAUGGAAA
Long non-coding RNA from Anguilla anguilla (European eel), 1356 nucleotides. RefSeq lists it as uncharacterized. The transcript is spliced from 5 exons. The record is from RefSeq and is a predicted model, not a curated record. NCBI's taxonomy places the organism in Eukaryota, Metazoa, Chordata, Actinopteri, Anguilliformes, Anguillidae.